Molecule: non-coding RNA, 369 nt
Organism: Enterococcus devriesei
Lineage: Bacteria; Bacillati; Bacillota; Bacilli; Lactobacillales; Enterococcaceae
Source: Rfam
GGGGCUGUUUCUGGAUUCGACAGGCAUUGUUCGGGCCUGAGUUGCGCUUCGUAGGUUACGUCUACGUAAAAACGUUACAGUUAAAUAUAACUGCUAAAAACAAUAACAACUCUUACGCUUUAGCUGCCUAAAAACAGUUAGCGUAGAUCCUCCCGGUAUCGCCCAUGUGCUCGGAUCAGGGUCUCAAAUUAAGUGGGAUACGUUUUAACUUUCCGUCUGUAAGUUAAAAAAGAGAUCAUCAGACUAGCGAAAUAGACUGCUUGUCACUCGGCAUGCUAUCGAGCGAAACUUCAAAUGAGUUGACUAUGAGCGUAGAGAUUUAGGUUAAGAGAUGUUUGGACAGGGGUUCGAUUCCCCUCAGCUCCAUUA